This 468-nucleotide ribosomal RNA is filed under the name uncultured bacterium. RNAcentral's name for it is "partial 16S ribosomal RNA". It matches the Rfam family "Bacterial small subunit ribosomal RNA", at positions 28 to 507 of the family's 1533-position model. The record is from RNAcentral.
GACGAACGCUGGCGGCGUGCUUAACACAUGCCAGUCGAACGGAAAGGCCCUGCUUUUGUGGGGUGCUCGAGUGGCGAACGGGUGAGUAACACGUGAGUAACCUGCCCUUGACUUUGGGAUAACUUCAGGAAACUGGGGCUAAUACCGGAUAGGAGCUCCUGCUGCAUGGUGGGGGUUGGAAAGUUUCGGCGGUUGGGGAUGGACUCGCGGCUUAUCAGCUUGUUGGUGGGGUAGUGGCUUACCAAGGCUUUGACGGGUAGCCGGCCUGAGAGGGUGACAGGCCACAUUGGGACUGAGAUACGGCCCAGACUCCUACGGGAGGCAGCAGUGGGGAAUAUUGCACAAUGGGCGGAAGCCUGAUGCAGCAACGCCGCGUGCGGGAUGACGGCCUUCGGGUUGUAAACCGCUUUCGCCUGUGACGAAGCGUGAGUGACGGUAAUGGGUAAAGAAGCACCGGCUAACUACGUG